GACUUUUUUGUACAGCUUUAACAGUGCUACUGUAUCUUUUUUGACAAAGACCCAAACGGUGUUCCAUAGUAUGUAUGUUGUGAAGAUAAUAGCAUUGAUGCUAUACUGUGUAACUCCGGUAGGGCAACAUCUGAAAAAUAGCCCACGUGCUAAUGUGUACCGGUGCUCGACCCGUCGGCGAAAGCCAACAUCACCCACGACAGAGAAUGGUUGUUUGUCAAGGUCAAUGAAUUCCAUUAUCUUGGCUUUAAUGGAUUAGCCUUUGACUUGUCUCACUGAAAUGCUCUUACUCUUUCAAAUGACUGCUCGACUUGUUGACUGCUCGAUCCACACAGCAGACAUUGUCGGCUAGGUUAGGAAUGCUGUGUUGCACAUCUAGUGCAAAAUUUUAAGUGGCGUCAUUACAUCAUGUUAUAAGUUAUAUAGGUAUGCACGGUAGCUUUGACAUCGGCCUUUACUAGACAUCGGACCGAUACCGAUGUUGCCAUUUUUAGUUAAUAUUGGCCAAUUCCGAUAUCUUGUUGCAUCCCUAAUAUUUUCAUCACCAAAUACCUGAAUAAAACACACUAUUUUGCAAUGAAUGUCUACAGGAGACUCAACAGCACCCUCUAGGGUAGCGCAAUGGUGUAGCCGGAGGACAGCUAUUUUCCAUCUUCCUCUACAUUGACUUCAAUACAAAACCGAGAAGGCUCAUGGUUCUCACCCCCUUCCAUAGACCUACAUGGUAGUUAUGACGACUUCCGGAGGACAUCUUCCAACCAAUAAAAGAUGUUGCAGUAUGAACUGACAUGUUGUCCAUCCAAUCAAAGGAUCAAAGAAUGAACGUAGUACGACACGCGUGAUUUCGAAGCUUGAUUCAAACUUCUGGGAAAAAUCCUCAUCGAUCAUUUAAUGGGUGAAGAUCUGUGUAUUCAAACUGCGUAACACAACAAGAAGCUAAGUACCCUCCUGUUCCCUGAUUAAGGGGUGAUGACAAUUCCACUGCACUACCAGUGUCAACUCUCUCCUGACAUGAACUGAAGCCAUGUCUCAUGUGCCCUCUCAUCCACUGGCGCAUUGAAGGUGUCCUCUCCGAGCACUUCAAAUCCUGUGCUGCCCUCAGUGUGAGAGUUGAGCUCUUCUCCAACACCAUCCAUGCAUGAUGAGCCUGUCCUGCACUGAAGCCUAUGAAGACCUCAACCCCUGUUCUGCACUGAAGUCAAGCCUCUGAACACCUCAACUCAUGCCUCAUACCCUCAUUCAAUCACUGCGGUGAUCCCUUCCCAACACUGUGUCAAAGGGCUUUUAAUGAAGAGCUGCUCUCCAGAAAACAUCGCUAGCACAUCGUCCCUGGGCCAUCUCGCCAUACAGUCCCUAUGAAAAAUGCAGGGUCGGUGUUGUAGCCAGCAGAGAGCUCCCGCCUGUGCUGUCACUCGCCUUGCCCACAGGUCCACACCAAAGUAGCCUGUGUUUUCUUCCUUCCUCUGCAGCACUGGAACAACACACAUUAUCACAUCAUCAAUAUUCAUCCUUGUCUCUCUCCUGUCCCCUCUUCUCCAGGUCUGCUCACAUGUAUCCAUCAUCUCUCCCCAUUUUUACCUUCCCUUUCCACUUCCACAGUGCCUUCUACCGUCUUCCCUUCUCCCCUCCCGCUGUCUGUACCCUCCAUCUCUCUCCCCUCCAUCUCUCUCCCCUCCAUCGCUCCUGCUCCUCUCCUCUGAUUGAGGUGGGUUUGGACCUUAAUGAAUGUAUGCAUGGAGCUGCCGAUGCCAAAAAAAUGAUUCCUCCGCUUUUUUUUUGCUAAGAAAGGGCAUCUGAAGCCAUUUGUGAUGCAAAUGUGACUGAUGAUCUGGCUAGCGUGAUCCUUAGCAUGUUUGAAGGCAUUGUUAGUAUGUUCUGUGCUAUGCUGUGACAGAUUAGCGGCUUUGCACAUGUAGCCCUUGCCCCGUUAAAUCUGGUCUGUCAAAAUGGGCAAGCCAUGGAUUUACUGACUGACAAAAAUAAGUACAAGCGUACACACACGCACACACACAGAGCCACAUACAUACACACACAGAGAGCCAUGUACACACACACACACACACACACACACACACACACACACACACACACACACACACACACGCUAGACGGUGGGCUGUGAGAAUCCACCUCUACUCUCCCUCUAGAGCCAGAGAGUUUGUAGAGCAGCUUGUUUUAUUGUAUUUCCAGCUUGUAACAAAUCCUACUAUCAUGAAAAAAUCCACACUGUCUCCCUAGAUUUAGUCGAAGCAUUUACCUGCCUCCAUUUUCUCCCAUAAAAGCUCUCCACUAACAAAAACAGCCGCAGAGUAUUUUUCUUUCCUCUUUAGCCCCAGACUCCUUUUCUCCUUCACAACCUUCCUCCCUCUCCAGUUGAACAUCUUCAAUUAUUUAAUCAUCUCUAAACCAUAAAAAUGUUUUAAUUGUCCAUACGGGUCUCCUUCUCGCCCCAGCAGUCACCUACAGACAGUCAGUAGCUAGCAGAGUAGUCUGGUCUGGUCUAGGGCCAGUAGCUUUCACACGUCUUUGAUCUCUCUCUAUCGGGUCGACAGGCUUUCAUUCAAUUAGGCCCAGUGUUGUUGUUAUCCCUAAUAAUAGAGCCCCUCCACCUUCCUCGGCACCCUGUCACCAUCUCACUCAUCACAGCCACUGUCCCCCAUCUCCUCAUCUCCAUCUCAGCAAUCAGCCCUCUUAUUACUAUCAUCACUACCAGGGGAGAGAAUGAAGGAGAGGAGAUACAGGGAGAUGGGGGAGUGGGGCUGGGUGGCUGGAGGGA
Molecule: long non-coding RNA, 2776 nt
Organism: Oncorhynchus kisutch (coho salmon)
Lineage: Eukaryota; Metazoa; Chordata; Actinopteri; Salmoniformes; Salmonidae
Exons: 5
Source: RefSeq, a predicted model, not a curated record